This is a long non-coding RNA of Gasterosteus aculeatus aculeatus (three-spined stickleback), 1245 nucleotides long. Lineage: Eukaryota; Metazoa; Chordata; Actinopteri; Perciformes; Gasterosteidae. The record is from Ensembl.
GUGUGUAAGUGACACUGUUUCUCCUUCCUUGAUAAAUGUUACUGUGACUUGAUUUAGAUUUUUUUUGUAUUCAUAUCACACUCAUUUAAUUGUUUUCCAGAUGCCUGUGAGACGUAUUCUCAGGAGCUUCAGGUUCAGGCGGAACACUCAUUGCGGAGUUCAGCGCGGAGUCGAGCGAGAAGAAAGCGGGUCAGAGUUUAUUUGCUGACUUGUUUCAGGUGCAUUGAUCGAUGUGUUGUGUCCGUACGCAUCGCAUCGCACAGUACUGAUUCAUUGUUGUUUUUACAGCUGCUGGAAUCAAGACAAAGUGUGCUGGCUGAUGACGAGGUGGAACGCUGGAAAUCCGCCACCGUGGAGCUCACGUCGGACGGAGGGGACGGCGUUGUUGGCGGGGUCUCGGGUGGAUUGUACGGUCGCCACACGCACACGAGCCGCCUGCACAACAGACCUGCCUCGGAAAACACGUCGCCAGUGACGGUCAACAACCCCGAGGAGGCAAACGGACAGUUUACUGAGCUGUAGUUUUUAAACCGCCGUUACCCAAGUGUGGGCAGAUCCUCACUUUGUAUGUAGUUGUUGUUUGUGUGUUGUUAAUAAAGCUUUUUCUUUGCAUAAACAUUCAUUGAUGUCCUGGUUGGUAUCCUAAUAAUAGUGUAGUAGCCUGCAUAGGAUAACCAUGAAAUGAAUAUACAGCAUAAUAUGAAUAUAUAAAUAUAUAUAAAUAAAAUGAGGCGGGUGACCAAUAGCGACAGAUCUGCCAACCAAUCACGAGUGAUUGAAAGUUGUGGUUUCAUCCAAUCAUGAACAAGGAAACUCAAGGCUGGUCUGCCCACGUGUGGUUUUGCUGCCAAUCACGAGUGAUUUUAUUUGUUAGUAAGUUGUGGUUUCAUCCAAUAAGCAGUAAGGAUAUUCAAGCCCGCUCGGCUCGGCCACCGCGGCUUCGCUGCAUUCAUAUGCUAAUUCGGGCCAUUCGCACCUCCGCCAGCUCUCCACAUACGUCAUGGUUCGUUUCCGACAAUUUGUGGCACAGACAAACGCGACGUGCGCGGGUUGCAAAUUGUCGGAAAUUGUCGGAAAUUAGGGAGAUUUCCGGGCGUUUACGGGGACGAAAAUCUCACUUUUCAUGCAGUGUAUUCCCUCCUUCCAAAUGUCCAUCAGGGUCGAGGACAACGUCCCUGUCCAGAAGGCGUGUGUGUGCAUUUUUUUGACCAAGCACACCGGCUCUACCCCCUGCGCCACGACGGC